CUUUGCAAUGUGCGAAAGCACGACAAGGUUAAUCCGAGUGGUUUCUGCUAAAGAAACCUUUUGUCAGUCCUAGAAACACUGAUGAAUAAGGGGUGGGCAAGUUCUGGUGUCAGCCGCCGCGGUAAAACCAGCACCUCAAGUGGUCAGGAUGAUUAUUGGGCCUAAAAGCAUCCGUAGCCGGCUCUGUAAGUUUUCGGUUAAAUCUGUACGCUCAACGUACAGGCUGCCGGGAAUACUGCAGAGCUAGGGAGUGGGAGAGGUAGACGGUACUCGGUAGGAGGGGUAAAAUCCUUUGAUCUAUUGAUGACCACCUGUGGCGAAGGCGGUCUACCAGAACACGUCCGACGGUGAGGGAUGAAAGCUGGGGGAGCAAACCGGG
Molecule: ribosomal RNA, 379 nt
Filed under: uncultured crenarchaeote
Lineage: Archaea; Thermoproteati; Thermoproteota
Description: bacterial SSU rRNA
Rfam family: Archaeal small subunit ribosomal RNA
Source: RNAcentral